CCAGGCUGAGCCCCCUCAGCUGCUCCUCACCCACCUUGUGCUCCAGACCUUCCCCAGCUCCAUUCCUUCCUCUGGACCUUCUUGCAGUGAGGAGCCCUCAGCAAAGGCAGGAUUUGAGGCGCCGCAGCCAGGGAGAAGAAACAGAAAACUGUGCUCCUCUUCUCUUUGGAGAUUAUCUUCUGUCCCAACUGCAGAAGCGUAGGCAUGAAUGAAGGAACCAGGCAUGGAUUUAACCAUUUCCCUGGAAGGAGCUUUGUAAAUAGUAUUAGCAGGUAGAAAAUGAUGGAUGUGACUCCUUAUCCACAAAAUCUCACUGCGAAGUGGAAGCACCACAUACUGACCUGUAGAAGGGAAACCAGGAAAAGGGGGACAAGACAGGUCUUUAUUUAGAUUCAGUUCUUUGUUCUUUUCCCUUUUUCCCCACCAUUUUACUCACUCAACAGCUUAGAUCUAAACAAACUAUCAAUACACCCCACUGUGUUACACCAGGGACACAUUUGACCCAUUUAAGUGCUCCCGCUCUCUUUUUGGUACCUGCUCCAGUGUAAGCUAUUAAAAAAAGUAGCUUCAUUAAAGCAAAAGGUAUUAGAAAAGGUGCCUGUGUGUAAAAUAACUAGUUGGGAGCUAAUGGGAUCUUUCAGGAGACUUGACUGUACCAGUGAUAAUUGAAACAAAGAGACCUCAGUGAUCUAAACUAAUUCAGAGGAGCUGUAUUCCUGUUUUUUAUUGCACAGGCAGUAGUUCAGCACUCUGCAGCUCCCCACUGGCAUGAAGAGACACUUACAGCUGUUCUCCUCCCCUGAUGCCAGCCCUCUGUGGAGCUAAUGGGGGGCUCCCAAGGCCUGCUGAAGUGCUCCAGGGCCCUGACUGCACCAGCCAGAGGACUCACCAUAUGCCGGGGGAAUUUCACCUCUAUUCAGACUCAAUUCAGGCCCAGCUCCCAAGGUGAAAUUCCAUUUAGGUCGGUGCAUUCUGGCACUAACAAUUAGAGAGAUGUGGUGGAGGCUCUCUGUUCUCUCUGCUGGGCUGGUGUCUGCUGGGUGCAGCCAGGCACGCGCUGCCUUCACCCCUGCCGGGGUGACCCCAUUGCAGCAGGGCAAGGAAAUUGAGAUCCAAAUGGGGAAAACUUUGCUGCAAAUAAAAAUAAAUGAAAACACAAGAAAAAACAAGGACUUCUUGUGCUGAUUUUCUCUGCUGCUGCUCUUAGCAGAACAAGGAGGAAAGGAGUAUAGUGUAAGAUUUUCUAAGCCCUAUCAGCACAGCAAAUUUCAUUAUUCUUCAAGUUUCUUUAUUCUUAGAAAACUCCUUAUGUGUGUAAUUACAGCUGUUUCUCUGGUGCACUUUUGGCAGAUUGCAUUGGAGAAAAUUCUAUUUUAAUGUGGGGCCAAGGGAAAU
This is a long non-coding RNA of Passer domesticus (house sparrow), 1395 nucleotides long. RefSeq lists it as uncharacterized. Lineage: Eukaryota; Metazoa; Chordata; Aves; Passeriformes; Passeridae. The record is from RefSeq and is a predicted model, not a curated record. The transcript has 2 exons.